CUACGUGCCAGCAGCCGCGGUAAUACGUAGGGCGCGAGCGUUGUCCGGAAUUAUUGGGCGUAAAGAGCUUGUAGGCGGUUUGUCGCGUCUGCUGUGAAAGGCCGGGGCUUAACCCCGUGUAUUGCAGUGGGUACGGGCAGACUAGAGUGCAGUAGGGGAGACUGGAAUUCCUAGUGUAGCGGUGAAAUGCGUAGAUAUUAGGAAGAACACCAGUGGCGAAGGCGACUUUCUGGACGAAAACUGACGCUGAGGCGCGAAAGCCAGGGGAGCGAACGGGAUUAGAUACCCCGGUAGUCCUGGCCGUAAACGAUGGGUACUAGGUGUAGGAGGUAUCGACCCCUUCUGUGCCGGAGUUAACGCAAUAAGUACCCCGCCUGGGGAGUACGACCGCAAGGUUGAAACUCAAAGGAAUUGACGGGGGCCCGCACAAGCGGUGGAGUAUGUGGUUUAAUUCGACGCAACGCGAAGAACCUUACCAGGUCUUGACAUUGAUGGACAGAACUAGAGAUAG
This 511-nucleotide ribosomal RNA is filed under the name uncultured bacterium. RNAcentral describes it as "bacterial SSU rRNA". It matches the Rfam family "Bacterial small subunit ribosomal RNA", at positions 501 to 1009 of the family's 1533-position model. The record is from RNAcentral.